This 44-nucleotide small RNA is filed under the name Arabidopsis thaliana (thale cress). RNAcentral describes it as "ATSL182320". The record is from RNAcentral. Lineage: Eukaryota; Viridiplantae; Streptophyta; Magnoliopsida; Brassicales; Brassicaceae.
AAGCUUCAGAAGAAGACGACAUGGGACAUUCCUGAGGGAAGUUU